Molecule: ribosomal RNA, 506 nt
Filed under: uncultured bacterium
Lineage: Bacteria
Description: bacterial SSU rRNA
Rfam family: Bacterial small subunit ribosomal RNA
Source: RNAcentral
ACGGCCUUCGGGUUGUAAACCUCUUUUAGUAGGGAAGAAGCGUAACAGUGACGGUACCUGCAGAAAAAGCACCGGCUAACUACAUGCCAGCAGCCGCGGUAAUACGUAGGGUGCAAGCGUUGUCCGGAAUUAUUGGGCGUAAAGAGCUCGUAGGCGGUUUGUCGCGUCUGCUGUGAAAACCCGAGGCUCAACCUCGGGCCUGCAGUGGGUACGGGCAGACUAGAGUGCGGUAGGGGAGAUUGGAAUUCCUGGUGUAGCGGUGGAAUGCGCAGAUAUCAGGAGGAACACCAAUGGCGAAGGCAGAUCUCUGGGCCGUAACUGACGCUGAGGAGCGAAAGCAUGGGGAGCGAACAGGAUUAGAUACCCUGGUAGUCCAUGCCGUAAACGUUGGGAACUAGAUGUGGGGACCAUUCCACGGUCUCCGUGUCGCAGCUAACGCAUUAAGUUCCCCGCCUGGGGAGUACGGCCGCAAGGCUAAAACUCAAAGGAAUUGACGGAAUCGAAUU